This 468-nucleotide ribosomal RNA is filed under the name uncultured bacterium. RNAcentral's name for it is "partial 16S ribosomal RNA". It matches the Rfam family "Bacterial small subunit ribosomal RNA", at positions 28 to 507 of the family's 1533-position model. The record is from RNAcentral.
GACGAACGCUGGCGGCGUGCUUAACACAUGCAAGUCGAACGGACAGGCCCUGCUUUUGUGGGUUGCUCGAGUGGCGAACGGGUGAGUAACACGUGAGUAACCUGCCCUUGACUUUGGGAUAACUUCAGGAAACUGGGGCUAAUACCGGAUAGGAGCUCCUGCUGCAUGGCGGUGGUUGGAAAGUUUCGGCGGUUGGGGAUGGACUCGCGGCUUAUCAGCUUGUUGGUGGAGUAGUGGCUUACCAAGGGUUUGACGGGUAGCCGGCCUGAGAGGGUGACCGGCCACAUUGGGACUGAGAGACGGCCCAGACUCCUACGGGCGGCAGCAGUGGGGAAUAUUGCAGAAUGGGCGGAAGCCUGAUGCAGCAACGCCGCGUGCGGGAUGACGGGCUUCGGGUUGUAAACCGCUUUCGCAGGUGACGAAGCGUGAGUGACGGUAAUGGGUAAAGAAGCAACGGCUAACUACGUG